Molecule: transfer RNA, 73 nt
Filed under: Dipodomys ordii (Ord's kangaroo rat)
Lineage: Eukaryota; Metazoa; Chordata; Mammalia; Rodentia; Heteromyidae
Rfam family: tRNA
About the family: Transfer RNA (tRNA) molecules are approximately 80 nucleotides in length.
Source: Rfam by way of RNAcentral
GGGAAGGUGGCUCAGUGGUAGAGUGCUUGCCUUGCAUGCAUGAGGUCCUAGAUUCAAUUUCUCAGCACUACCU